Molecule: long non-coding RNA, 566 nt
Organism: Megachile rotundata (alfalfa leafcutting bee)
Lineage: Eukaryota; Metazoa; Arthropoda; Insecta; Hymenoptera; Megachilidae
Source: RefSeq, a predicted model, not a curated record
AUUCUCGCGCCACUGAUUUCUAACGUGCGAUCCUACCGACAUCGAUGAAACAUUUUUCAGUGACUUCGUUUAUGCAAAAUAUGAGAAACAAUACCCCAUCACAAAGCGAAUUUCUUAAUAAAAUGAGAGUGUUUAAGAAACGUUACUGUUGCGCACUUUGGAAGUUGAAUUUACGAACGCUUUUACCAAACGGUGCAACUAACAUUAUCUAGUGACACAAGACUAGCUCUAGGGAAAUUGAUGACACGCUGAAGUCCAAAUUCCCAUUCUUCUUCUGUGCCCCACUUAAACACCGGACAAAGGAAUUCAUUGGCUACCCUGCAAAAUUGAAGAAGACAACUGUUUGAUGAUCAACACAAGGUUCAUAUCCAGCACGACAAAGGAAGUUCUUUGCCAUUCCUCUCAUGUGAGUCUUCCAGGAUGGUUCAUUUGGUUCUUCAGUUUCCUUUAGUUCCUCAUAUAGAGUUUUCAACAAGACCCCUCUAUACGUCUACCUACAUGAUCAAUCAUCAUAAAGACUGGCUCCCAAACCACAUGACUUCUCUCUUCAUUUAAGAACAGAGUCA